This is a non-coding RNA of Xylogone sp. PMI_703, 74 nucleotides long. NCBI's taxonomy places the organism in Eukaryota, Fungi, Ascomycota, Leotiomycetes. The record is from the annotation of a GenBank genome assembly.
GGGGCGGUAGUGUAAUGGCAGCACAUCUGGGUUCAUAGCCCAGAAGGUCCUCGGUUCAAUUCCAGGCUGCCCCG